CGGCGACAUCGGUAGAGGUGAGGCCGCCAUUCUGACUCAUCUAUACCUUUAUCAAAGCUGAACCAGGCAAUGGCAGACACAUCUCAACAGCGGAUGCGAAAGAUCCAGCUAGCUGUAUACACAAGAGCAUUUCUUUCAACUGUUGGCAUGCUGCCUACCACUGUAUCUUCAGAUUCAGAGUCAGGCUCUGAACAAGUGGCCAAGGGAUAAUCUGAUUUCCAAGUUGAGAUUACGUCAAGAAACAGUGACUCAUCUGCCUCACAAUUACUAGCUACACCAGCGCUGGCCGGGUCAUCACAUGCGAGGGCAGCUGGGCCUCCUCGGACACACCUGAAAAGCACACAGAUGAUAAAGAAGAAAAAGAGGAGGAGGAAGAAGAAGAAGAAGAAGAAGAAGAAGAAAAAGAAGAAGAAGAAGAAGAAUAGACAAGUAAAUUAAUAAGUUAAGAUGAAAGCAAAUAAAAAAAAAUGAUAGAUGAGAGAUGAGAGAUUAAAACCACGCAUACAAGAAGAGGAGGAGAAAGACGGAGAACAAGAAGAGAAGGAGAAAGAUAAGAACAAGAAGAGAAGGAGAAUGAUGAAUAACAAGAAGAGAAGGAGAAAGAUGAAGAACAAGAAGAGGAGGAGAAAGAUUAAGAACAAGAAGAGAAGGAGAAAGAUGAAGAACAAGAAGAGAAGGAGAAAGAUAAGAACAAGAAGAGGAGGAGGAGGAGGAGGAGGAGGAGGAGGAGGAGGAGGAGCAGGAAGAAGGCACAAGCUGCACCUAAAUAAACUUCCCUACUCCGGUGCCUGUACGCCAGCACACGGUCGGUCUGUAGCACUGGCCUGGCGAGUUUCUAGUUUUAUGACUCAAAAAUUGGAACGUAAAAUUGCAACGUCCCUGUAGCGCCGCCGCCCAGUGAGGACCUCGGCUUCUACUACUACAGGCACCCGGGGACGCGAUACGCACCGAAAUAAAAUAAAAAGGCGAAAAAAAGUGAAAAAAAAAAAUUAAAAGAAGGAAGGAAAUAUGAGAACAUUGUGGACUGAUAUGCAAGUUUGUGGUUUUCUUUUUUGUUGGUUUGUCGUACGUGUAGAGAAGUUAUAGUGUAUUGAAAGAGAAAAAUAAAGACAACUGCAAUACGAUAACAAUGUGAAGAAAAGAUAAAGAGAAGUGAAAGAAGAAAAGAAAACAGAAAUAAGAAGCUUGUGGUUUAUUUAUACAAGUGUCUGAUUUUUUUGUAUACGAAGAAAAGUUCUAAUACAUAUUGAAACAGAAAAAUAAACACUAUUACUUAUAAGAUGGCGUAACCAUAGAUAGGUACGGAUAGGUAGGAACAUUAAAUCAAGAGACAAUUUUAAAUGUUUUCUGGUUAUUAUGAAAGUUUGUUUGUAGUUUUCGUAUCCUACCGCUGACACCAUUUUAUGUUCUCUCUAUCCUAUCUAUCUAUGGUCACAGCGGCUAACUCAGACUUACGAGAUAUGAUGGUUUUCAAGGUUUGGGUUUUAUGUCUUUGAGAGGAGUUAAUGAGGAAGAAAUGAACAGAGGAGG
This is a long non-coding RNA of Scylla paramamosain (green mud crab), 1530 nucleotides long. RefSeq lists it as uncharacterized. Lineage: Eukaryota; Metazoa; Arthropoda; Malacostraca; Decapoda; Portunidae. The transcript has 4 exons. The record is from RefSeq and is a predicted model, not a curated record.